Molecule: long non-coding RNA, 4652 nt
Filed under: Haliotis rufescens (red abalone)
Lineage: Eukaryota; Metazoa; Mollusca; Gastropoda; Lepetellida; Haliotidae
Description: uncharacterized LOC125380038
Source: RNAcentral
UGGUAAACGUCUGAGACCUGCAUCACUUGGGGCUAUCCUCCCACAUUAAGCUGUCAUGCCGUGAUAUAACUGGAAUACUGUUAAAAGCGGCGUUAAACCCAACUCACUCACUCACUUUUAUCAUUCCUGUCUCCUUUUUGUAGAUAAUACGGAGAUGUAUAAUAUAUGUAUAACACAGAUACAGUGAUAUUCUCAGCAGAUUUCAAAGUAGUCUUGGAAAGAAAGUUUUGAACUAUGACCGUGUUGCCGCUGGCUCUUUAAACUGCCAGUCCCAGUGGACAGGCAAUUCCAAAAAAAACCUCCAAUUUGGUGAGUACCAACUCAAUAAAUAAACAUAUCAAAAUUGCCUGGUUAUAAUUCUUUCAACAGCAUGUUCAAUGCAGUGUAUGUUCAUGCUGGACAAAUUCAAUAAAAUCAUCUCUGAAGUAACUUAGAUGUACACCUCAUUCACACAAAGUUCAGUCAUAUUUUUCUCUCUUAAUAUUUCACUUUGGUUCAAGGCUAAGUCACUACAAAUAGAUAUUUAAAUUCAAAGUACAACGAAAUGUUAUUUCUUUGAAUGAAAAAUAGACAACAGGAAACACUGAUGAUGUAAAAUAGACAAGCUGACUUCGUUUGAAAAAUAUACUUCAUCGAUUAUCGGCGAUGUUUUUGAUUAUUGGCGAUGUUUUUGUUAACAACAAUAAUUUAUAAGGUACUUUAUUUGCCGGUCCUCAGGGACUGGCAGCCAUAUGGAUUACCAGUUCAAACCUUAUUUUACCAUUAAAAAACUGAUAAUUACCAGUAAAUGGGAAUGCUUCUAUGAAGAACAGCUAAUGGUUGUUAUUAUGAAACCAUUAACCUUAUGUCAUUGAUAGAGUUAAUAAAUAUCAAAAUGUGUUUGUCAUAACCAUUGUUUGAUUUGAAAUGAAAGUGUAGAGUGUGAAGUAAAGGACUAAAAUAAUUAUAUGAUUUAUUCUCUGAAAGUACUGCCUUGCAUUCCUGGGUCAUGGGUGGCCAAGAAGUCGAAUGAUCUAGGUGGCCCAGUGGUCUAAUGAUCUGGGUGGCCCAGUGGUCUAAUGAUCUGGGUGACCCAGUGGUCUAAUGAUCUGGGUGCCCCAUAUGUCUAAUGAUUUGGGUGGCCCAGUGGUCUAAUGAUCGGGCUGGCCCAAAGGCCUAAUGAUCUGGGUGGCCCAGUGGUCUAAUGAUCGGGGUGGCCCAGUGGUCUAAUGAUCUGGGUGACCCAAAGGCCUAAUGAUCUGGGUGCCCCAUAUGUCUAAUGAUUUGGGUGGCCCAGUGGUCUAAUGAUCGGGGUGGCCCAGUGGUCUAAUGAUCUGGGUGGCCCAAAGGCCUAAUGAUCUGGGUGGCCCAGUGGUCUAAUGAUGUAAUCAUUGUGCAGAGUUACCUGCAUUGGAGUUGCCAGGAUCUGCUUAUCUCAGUUCCUCCCCACUUAUGAUCCUUGGUUUGUCAGCACCAUACGUGUGCUUGUGGGUGAAUGUCUGUGGCCUGUGUCACUCUGGCCUUCCCUCCUAUAUUAUUAAAUUUAAUACACUGUAACACACAUGCUGUUCAAAGCUGUGUAAACCUAGCUCACUCCUCUCCUUACAUCCCUGAGGAACCUAGAAGACCCAGGUUAGAAUUGAUCUUCAGCAACCCAUGCUUGUCGUAAGAGGCGACUAACAGGAUUGUGUGAUCAGGCUCGCUGACUUGGUUGAGGCACGUCAUCUUAUCCCAGUUGUGUAGAUCAAUGGUAUUGAUGUCAGUCACUGGAUUGUCUGAUCCUGACUCGAUUGUUUACAGACCGCCAUCUUUCAGCUGGAAUAGUGCUGAGUGCGGCGUUAAACAACAACAAUCAAACGUCACUGUGGCAACAGUAGAAAUUUCUUUGAGAAAUAUAAUCAUCAAUUGUAACUUGGAAAGAUCUCUUUUUAAAAUAGCAUGUUAUAUGUUUAAUUUUACCUGUUUAGAAAUAUUUUUACCUCAUUGAAGUGUACUUAGUGACUUCAGAAAAUGUUUAUUGUGGGGUUGCUUGAUUGUUUUCUACCAUUUUGCCUGUCCUAAUAUCAGUCUGAAUACCCACAGUGGUACAGUGCGCAAAGCACAAGCUGGGUGGCCUUUGUUCUUGCCAAAAUAUUGUUCAAUGCAAUGUAAAACAGUGAAACGUGUUGAUAAUUUACAUCUGAGAAAGUAGUUUCUGGUGUUGGGCGAGUUCUUGUGGAGAAUGUUUCCUUAGACAUGCACAGUACCAUGUUAAGUCUGACACUACAUGAAGAGUAUGUUUUCGGAUGCGUGAACUCAGCAGGAGUAUGUGGUGUUGGGAUCACUGACCUGAUGUCAACUCCGGUCUGCAUCACGUUUCCCCGCUACCUGACACACUGUGAUAUAACCCCACAGUUGUCGCUGAGAGAAACAUUUCAAUUCAUAUGUCAUAUCCUGUGAGCAUGUUGUGACAUGUACUGCAUUUGUUCUCUAUAUAUUGUUGACAUAUAUUUGAAUGUGAUGUUUCAACAUUAUGGCUUGUUAUUUGUUGUAUGGACAGGGCUUGAGAAUAGGACUGAGGACUACCAUAACUUGAGUAUCAUUACCUUCACCAGUUCCUUCCAUUGAUAUCACAUGAGGCCUGCUACAGUCUGUCAGUGCCUCCUAUAGCUUGAGCAUGAGGCCUGCUACAAUCUGUCAGUGCCUCCUAUAGCUUUAGCAUGAGGCCUGCUACAAUCUGUCAGUGCCCCCUAUAGCUUGAGCAUGAGGCCUACUACAAUCUGUCAGUGCCUCCUCCUAUAGCUUUAGCAUGGGGUCUACUACAAUAUGUCAGUGACUCCUAUAGCUUUAGCAUGGGGUCUACUACAAUCUGUCAGAGCCUCCUCCUAUAGCUUUAGCAUGGGGCCUACUACAAUCUGUCAGUGCCUCCUCCUAUAGCUUUAGCAUGGGGCCUACUACAAUCUGUCAGUGCCUCCUAUAGCUUUAGCAUGGGGCCUACUACAAUCUGUCAGUGCCUCCUAUAGCUUUAGCAUGGGGUCUACUACAAUCUGUCAGUGACUCCUAUAGCUUUAGCAUGGGGCCUACUACAAUCUGUCAGUGACUCCUAUAGCUUUAGCAUGGGGCCUACUACAAUCUGUCAGUGACUCCUAUAGCUUUAGCAUGGGGCCUACUACAAUCUGUCAGUGCCUCUUGUAGCUUCAGCAUGGGGUCUACUACAAUCUGUCAGUGCCUCCUAUAGCUUUAGCAUGAGGCCUACUACAAUCUGUCAGUGACUCCUAUAGCUUUAGCAUGAGGCCUACUACAAUCUGUCAGUGCCUCUUGUAGCUUUAGCAUGGGGUCUACUACAAUCUGUCAGUGCCUCUUGUAGCUUUAGCAUGAGGCCUACUACAAUCUGUCAGUGCCUCCUGUAGCUUUAGCAUGAGGCCUACUACAAUCUGUCAGUGCCUCCUUUUUCUAUUUGUCACCAUGAAGUGCCUGAGGCACAGUGUAGUAAAGAACUGUAAGUAAGGAUAAGAUAAAUGGGGAACAACUUCUUUUUUACAAUUAGGAGCAAUGCUUUGGUGUAGGUUCUGACACCGUUAUCAAGCAAGUGAUGUACCGAGUAUGGUUGACAAGCAUAUAUACAGUUAUGAGGCAGUGUUUAUGCAAUCUACUGUAUAACCACUGCCUCAUACCUGAAUGCUAAGUCACGUGACUCCAUUGACUCGUGAAAAAGCAUGCAGCUUUUUGCUUCAAAGCAGGGUAUACAGGAUUUAUUCAGCCUCUCAGAAAUUCAUGUGCAGCCUGACUUGAUUGUGGCAGGGUAUAAGAGAUUUAUUACCCUGCUGGGAAAUUUAUUUCCCUCCAAGGCGGGAUACCUAGUAUUUUAUCAAGAUCACAUGGACCAAUAAGAUCUCAUCAUUCUGACAUGGAGGUAUGAUGUACAAUGUGUCAGCCUAUGUACCUUGAGCCAGUAGGUGAGUCUCAAACACAGGGUUCACCACAACAUAUACCCCGAGGUACUGGUUGAAAAUGAAUUUAUCUUACAGGCAUUAUUUUAACCAUUCGUCUAAAAGUCUCAUUUAACUGCAUUUGGUUAGUGUUCAGGUUUGACAUAAUAUGCUUAUACCAUAGUAUACACUCUGGUAAGAAGUUUGUAAUUUUCCAACGGUCUAUAUGAAAUUUGUACUUUAUCUGUCAGCAGGGUACAUGGGGAAAAAUUGCCUUUCAGUUAACCAAUCAGAAACAAGUAUGAUAAUGCCAGGUAAAAUAAAGAAACAUUCAUCAAUGAAAUAGGUGCAAGUUGUCAUAUUCACUGGGUGCCUGGACAAUUUGAUACAAUAACCAUCAAUGUUGCACAAUUGCAGCCGAACUAUUGUUGAUAGAUUUUUUGGGUCACUUAAGUAGAAUCUUUCAAACGGUAUAAGCCAAAUUCAAACCCUCUUUUUAUGAAAAUCACUAUUUUCAUAUGAGAUAAUGGCUGGAUAUAGACAGUUUGAAAAUAAUAGUUUCAGAUAUUUUUUUCCAUUAGAAAAUUAUUUUUUAUGACAGAUCUAUGAUGGCUAUUUUAAAUGAUGUGUGAAAGCAGAUGGUUGGCGAUAAGAAGCUGGGAUAUGCAUGUUUGAUAAAAGUAUGUGUUACAGAUAUUGACAUUCUGUGUUGUUGCAUAUAGAUGUCCAUGUUUUAUUGUUGUUAAUAAAAUGUAUGCAGCUGUG